CGCAUCUGUGCAUGCAGCAUAUCAAUAAGCGGAGGAAAAGAAACUAACAAGGAUUCCCUCAGUAACGGCGAGUGAAGCGGGAAGAGCUCAAAUUUGAAAUCUUGAAAGGUCACCUUUCACGAAUUGUAGUUUAAAGAAGUGUUUUCUGUUACGAUCGUAAUAUAAGUUCUUUGGAAUAGGACAUCACAGAGGGUGAGAAUCCCGUCUAUGAUUGCGAUUUGUAGCUUUGUGAUACACUUUCAAAGAGUCGGGUUGUUUGGGAAUGCAGCCCAAAACGGGAGGUAAAUUUCUUCUAAGGCUAAAUAUUGGCGAGAGACCGAUAGCGAACAAGUACCGUGAGGGAAAGAUGAAAAGAACUUUGAAAAGAGAGUUAAAUAGUACGUGAAAUUGUCAAAAGGGAAGCGUUUAACACCAGUGUUGUUUUCUGAAAAUCAACCUCUGUUAGCUUUAUGCAUGUUUGUUUAGACCUAAUCAGCUAUCUUGCAUGUUCUAUUGUUUGCAGUGGUGCACUUUUCAGUUUACAGGUCAACAUCAGUUUUUUUUACCGUAAAAAAGUUAAAGAAAGGUAGCUCAUGGCUCCGGUCGUGAGUGUUAUAGUCUUUUUCCUAUGCGGUAGGAGAGACUGAGGUCUGCAGUGUAGGCUAUUUGGCUAGAUACUCAGGUGCUAUGUGAUACCAUUUUAUAAACAACUUGUUGAUUAUGUUUUGUCUAUUGCAUACUCGCUUGUACUAUCAUACCUACGCUUAGGAUGUUGAAGUCAUCGUAUCGCGC
This 771-nucleotide ribosomal RNA is filed under the name uncultured Neocallimastigales. RNAcentral describes it as "partial large subunit ribosomal RNA". It matches the Rfam family "Eukaryotic large subunit ribosomal RNA", at positions 26 to 645 of the family's 3401-position model. Lineage: Eukaryota; Fungi; Neocallimastigomycota; Neocallimastigomycetes; Neocallimastigales. The record is from RNAcentral.